UACGUAGGGUGCGAGCGUUAAUCGGAAUUACUGGGCGUAAAGCGUGCGUAGGCGGUUCUCCAAGUCCGUUGUGAAAGCCCCGGGCUCAACCUGGGAAUGGCAGUGGAAACUAGGGGACUGGAAUCUGGCAGAGGGGGGUGGAAUGCCGCGUGUAGCAGUGAAAUGCGUAGAGAUGCGGCGGAACACCGAUGGCGAAGGCAAUCCCCUGGGCCUGCACUGACGCUCAUGCACGAAAGCGUGGGGAGCAAACAGG
Molecule: ribosomal RNA, 253 nt
Filed under: uncultured bacterium
Lineage: Bacteria
Description: partial 16S ribosomal RNA
Rfam family: Bacterial small subunit ribosomal RNA
Source: RNAcentral